This 147-nucleotide ribosomal RNA is filed under the name Lysandra coridon. RNAcentral's name for it is "partial 12S ribosomal RNA". The record is from RNAcentral. Lineage: Eukaryota; Metazoa; Arthropoda; Insecta; Lepidoptera; Lycaenidae.
AAAAAAUUUUUAUAGUUUUGAUAUUUUAUUUUAAAUAUAAUUUACAUAUAAAUUUUAGUGUUAGAUUUUAUUUAUUUUAAUAAUAAAUAAAAUUAUUAAGUAGUAAUUAACUUUAAAUUAUUUAAGAAAUUAAGAUUUAGUAAUUUG